CCUACGGGUGGCAGCAGUGAGGAAUAUUGGUCAAUGGACGAAAGUCUGAACCAGCCAAGUCGCGUGAGGGAAGACUGCCCUAUGGGUUGUAAACUUCUUUUGUAUGGGAGUAAAACAGGGUAUGUAUAUCCCCUUUAAUUGACCAUAAUUACAAAGAACGGCUAAACUCACUACCUCCACCCGGGUUAUGAGGAAGAACGGAGCGGUAACCGGAUUUAUUUGGUUUAAAGGGAGCGUAGGUGGAUUGUUAAGUCAGUUGUGAAAGUUUGCGGCUCAACCGUACCUUUGCAGUUGAAACUGGCAGUCUUGAGUACAGUAGAGGUGGGCGGAAUUCGUGGUGUAGCGGUGAAAUGCUUAGAUAUCACGAAGAACUCCGAUUGCGAAGGCAGCUCACUGGACUGCAACUGACACUGAGGCUCGAAAGUGUGGGUAUCAAACAGGAUUAGAUACCCGUGUAGUC
Molecule: ribosomal RNA, 460 nt
Filed under: uncultured bacterium
Lineage: Bacteria
Description: partial 16S ribosomal RNA
Rfam family: Bacterial small subunit ribosomal RNA
Source: RNAcentral